Molecule: unclassified non-coding RNA, 279 nt
Filed under: plant metagenome
Description: partial contains small subunit ribosomal RNA, internal transcribed spacer 1, and 5.8S ribosomal RNA
Source: RNAcentral
UUUCCGUAGGUGAACCUGCGGAAGGAUCAUUAUUGUAUAACCGAGGAGCGAGGGGUGUCGCUGCUCGGAUAGGACGUGCACGCCCGAGUGCCCUCACACACAUCCAUCUUACCCCUAUGUGCACCACCGCGUGUGCCCCUCUCUGGUUCGUUCGGAGGGGGGCUUACGUUUUGACACACACUUUGUAUUCCGUGCAGGAUGUAUUUUUUGUUUUUGCUUGCCUGCAUUCUAUACAACUUUCAGCAAUGGAUCUCUUGGCUUUCGCAUCGAUGAAGAACA